Molecule: long non-coding RNA, 4142 nt
Filed under: Sus scrofa (pig)
Lineage: Eukaryota; Metazoa; Chordata; Mammalia; Artiodactyla; Suidae
Description: TNF superfamily member 15 (ENSSSCG00000034087.3)
Source: RNAcentral
AAGGGUUUGAGGGGCAUUUCUGCUCUCCUAACCUCUGUUGAGUUACCUGUAAAUCAGGAAUCCACCAAUUUGUUUCCCAAGAUGAAAUGAGCACAUGGGGAUGAAACGAGCACAUGGGGAUGACACCUGUUUACUUUCAGCCUUCUGUGAAAUCUGAGAGCAUGUGGCAGUGUGACCUGGGAAGUGACCUCCAGCACCUUGGCCUCUAUCAUAAAUGCUCCCUAUUGUGAGACACCUCACAAAAGGGUCUGAGAGCAAAUUUGGCAAUGAAAUCACUCUUACUCUUGCUACCAAGGAACUACAGAGGCAGAGACACACAUGAUGGGGUUUCUGAACAUGACAACUGGUAUAGCGGUACUUGAUCCAUACUUGUUGAGUAUAAUUAAAUAAAAAGUAAUUUCUAAUUUCUCAGUUGGGAGCUGAAGGCUGUGAAGCCCUCAAGUUUCUCAAAACAGCACAGGGCCAGGGUGAGCACAGAGAAGGGUGUGGUCUCCUCCACCUGGUUUAGAAGUGUCUUCACAAGGGAAGUGAAGCCUGAGGAGUCCUGAAAGAAGGUGGGCAGGCAGCCAACGCCUCCAGGAAAGGGCAUCUCAGAUAGAGGAAUUACCCUUUACUUAAAGCAGAAAGGAAAGGUUUCUCAGUAACUACACAACCAGCUUGAUAAGAGAAUGUUCCCCCACCAACUCCUAGAAUAAUAUUUAUUGGUAAAUCGGGAAUGUUUUAUCGAUGACUCCCAUCUGGCGCUGUGAUCAGAACUAACACCCCAGGAAGAAAAUAAAAUGCUCAAUCUGCGUCUGCACAGGAGCACCUAGCAACUUGAGAUACGGGCAAGGAUUUGUGUAGAGGAGUCUACAGUGACCUGCUUACCUUCCCCUCCACCAACAGGAACCCUUAUACCAAGGGCCUCCAAACCUUCCGUCUGUUUCAUAGGGAAAUGGUGGAUUUGGAAGUUUACCCAAGAAGUUUAUCAAUUCAACUAUUCUAAAAGACUUGAGGCUUUAGAAAAAUCCCUGCCACAUAUUUAUGUUGCUCAUGCCAUAUGCUUGUGUACUGAAGAACGUACUGUGCUCAAGUUUUCCUUUCACUGUUCAGAUAGGCCCAGCCAACCAUUCCUAAUAAGACUUAAAUCAGAACUUCAGUGUCCCAGGAUGAUCUCCAUGGUAAAAAUCUAGUGCACUGGUUAUAAAAAUAAGGUGGGAAAAUUCUUUUUAAGAAUGUGUGAUGGACCCUAAAAGGAGUAAAUGAGGUGCAUUCAAAGAUUUGAAAGGGAAGAAGGAGCGUGUUUCCAUGCAUUAGAAAAUAGUUAAUUUAGGGGGAGAAUGUUUUACUGAUUCCAAGUCUCUGAAAAGACUGAAUUCAAAUCAAUUCCACAAACAUUUACUAACAACCUACUCACCCUGGGGACACAAAGAUAAAUUGAGUCUCAGACAUGUCGUUUUCUAACUGCUUUAGCACCUCUAUUGUCUGUAGAUCCUUUAAUUUAUUUUGGUUGUAUUAGCUAAUUAAUUAGCUAACUUUAGGUACACGGAUAUUUUCUCAUUACAAAAAUGCAUGCCGUUUGAUGAAGGAUGAUCAUUAACAAAAUGACUUGUGUUUACACUAAGAGGUUUUUUAAAAAUAGCUACUCAAGGACAGUUCUCCUUAAAUAAAAGGGAAGAAAAUAAAAAUACUGUUUUCUAUGGUAGAAUCUAUUCUUUAAGCCACAUGUAGAGAAAGUUUUCUUAUCUCCUGGACUAGAGGGUGACCAUCAACAACCUUGAAAGCAUUAGAACUUUAUGGAUAGGAGUUCCCAUGCUGGCACAGUGGUUAACAAAUCCGACUAAGAACCAUGAGGUUGCGGGUUCGAUCCCUGGCCUUGCUCAGUGGAUUAAGGAUCUGGCGUUGCCGUGAGCCGUGGUGUAGGUUGCAGACGAGGCUCGGAUCCCACGUUGCUGUGGCUCUGGUGUAGGCCGGUGGCUACAGCUCCAAUUCAACCCCUAGCCCGGGAAUCGCCAUAUGCUGCGGAAGCGGCUCUAGAAAAGGCAAAAAGACCAAAAAAAAAAAAAAAUUUUUUUUUAAAGAACUUUAUGGAUAACCCAGAUGCUUUGAAAGCCUAUGUUUCUCAGCAAAUACAGGAACCACAAUCCAAAUGCAUGGAGUCACUCGUAUUUUGACCACGGCAUAGUUUAGAUCUAUUUGGCAGAAAAAAUAAUUGUUUAGGCUACUAAAAUUCCUAAGUCUUUCUGACUAAGGUACAGUAGAAUGUGAAAAGGUACACUUUCACAUCUUGAAAAGUGUCUGCUUUGACUUAACAGGGCAUGCCAGAGCCCUUGGCUCCAUUUCCAUCUAAGCUACGUCAUUCCAGAGGAAAUUCCAUCUCUGUGCUCGUCAGUAACCCCUCCAGACUAUAAAAUUUCAACUAGCUCACUGUGCACAAGGCGUGUCUGUUGCCAAGAUUCUCUGGCAAGGUAUUUUCCCAAGUCCUUUCCCAAUCGUAUUUCCAUGAUUAUGACACUGGGGAUUAAUUCUUCAGACAGGACUGUUUAUACACUGCACCUUGCAAAACACAUGCAGAAGUUACUUGCCUCAAGAUUUCUUUCUCUCCUAGGACCCAGAGUUCUGGAAGUAUUGGGCCACUUUUAUGAUAACUUUUUUAAAAAGGAUGCACCCUUAUCCUGGAUAUUAAGAGCUAUUGCACCAUACUGGCAUCGAGGCCUGGGGAAAAGAAUUCAGUGAACAGUUAACCCCUAAAACCUUCUGCUUCAGCGGUCAGAGCAGUCACAUCUAAUGCCCUGCCCCACUUGACAACCAUAUUUACAACUUCCCAGGUUCUGAAACACAUUUGCCCUGCCCGCCCCCCAUCCCUUCCUUUAUUCCAUUUUAAGAAGUAAGUACCGUACCAACCCAGACAGACAUAACUUGUUCAGGACCACAUAAUGAGUUAAUGGCAGGUCCAGAGCUAGAAUAUUAUCUUCUUGAAUCAUAAUUCUAGACUUACCAAUUACCCUCUGCUCUUAGCAAAUAGUAUUCCCCUUAAUAACUGGAGGAAGACCAUGAGAAAUUUAUCAAAAAUCAAUGGGGUGAUACAGAAAAAGGGAAGGGAGUUCUUCCAUGUCUCCCUAGAGGAAAGCGCUAGGGCUAAUAAAUUGACGUUGCAGGGUCACCAUUUCUGUCUUGAUGACCAAAGGAACUCUACCCCAAAUGAGAAUGUCCCCAGAUAGUGAUUUCUCAAGUCUCUGGAGACAUUCAACCAAAGAGCUCAUCCCAAAGCUUUUGUAGAAACAAUUCCUACAAUGAAGUAAGAGGAAGAAUUGAGCCAAAGGAAUUUUGAGGUAUAUUCCAAAUCUAUAAUAUAUGGCCAUUUUUAAUUGACUUCUGAGUGUUUUGUUUGAGCAUUAAGAACUAGGCAGACUUUGUCAAGAGUUUAGAGCUUCUAGCCUAAAAGUGGCUGCCAUUUCCCACUUGUUCAGACAGUGUCUGAGAUCCUGAUCAACAGAGCAUGUCAUGGAGUUUUAGAGCUGGUGGGAUCUGCAGAGUUUAUCUGCUCCAAGUUACAUCAUUUUAAGAAUGAAAGAAUCCAGGCUCAGAAAGGUGACAUAAAUGGCCCAAUGCCAGUCAGUAGCUAGUAGCAGUGCGAGGCUAGAAUUCAUAUCACCUGACACCCAGCCCAGCAGUCUUUCCAUUUCAUCCAUGACUCAAGUUAUUUUUUUGUACAUCCGUCACGUGACAUCACUUAACCUAGAUGCUGGAGAGCCAAGACAAGACAGAAUAUGACAGGCAAGUCCCACUCUCAUGUUGCAUGAGUUUUGGUGGAAGGAGAGGCACAAUGUUGAGUAAAUAAAGUAGCAGAUGACUUUAUUUGUAAAGUCAUUAAAAUAUGUAACUUCCCCCUUUUGUUUCAGGGUGAACAGAUUAAACAAAUGUUGGUGUUUAUGUGGUUUUAGUGAUAAGCCCCAUGUGCUUUUAUUGAUUUUAUGUUUUAUGUUAAAACAUCACAAACCCAAGGUAAACUGCAUAUUGUAUGUCACUGGAUAUUUACUUAGCUGAUAAGCAUCCCAUGUCUUCCGGCACUACUGUAUGAAUCCCAAUCACUGUGAAUGAAAUGUUUUGUGUGUAUUAAGGUAUUUAAUGGAUGUAAUUUAAUAAACUGGCAUGGAAAGCUG